RNAcentral lists this long non-coding RNA (5084 nucleotides) under Sus scrofa (pig). RNAcentral's name for it is "lncRNA (ENSSSCG00000056269.1)". The record is from RNAcentral. Lineage: Eukaryota; Metazoa; Chordata; Mammalia; Artiodactyla; Suidae.
ACAUGUUCCAUAUUCUAUGUCAACAAAAGUAAAGAAAAUUGGGUCAAACAGUGAAGGCAGAUUUAAAUACAUUAUCAUAUGCUCUUAUUUACACUAUAUAUUUUACACAUGUGGGAGUCAAAGUAAAUCAUUUUUAACAUCAUCAAUAUAAUUUUAUUUUCUUUCACUAUAAACUUUAAUCUACAUAAUAUAAGACAUUGAUUGUAAAACUCAAAUUAUCAGAGAGAAAAAAUAUAGGAAUGAAAUAUAAUUUAAAUAAAAAAGAGCAAAAAUUAAAUAUUAAACCAAAAUACAAAGAAAAAACAAUAUUGGAUAUAAAUAUGAUGUAUAUAUAUCCAGCUCUAUGGAUGAACUAGAUUUAUACCAUAAGGCAAAACACAAAAUAAAAUCUAUAAAUCCUAGAUAUAUAUUCCAUUUCAUCUCUCAAGAGGCAUUAACAUAUGGCUAAUGAAGAUAUUUAAAAAUGUUAAAAAAUAUAUAAGAAGAACUCCUUUAAAAGUAGGUUUAGUGGUAGCAUAAGUAAUAGCGGUAGUAUUUUAUAAAAAGAUCACAUGAUUGAUAACAAUAUAAAGGACUUUUAUAUUGGUAAUGUACACAUGCACAUCAAACAUCUAUUUUUUGAGACAAAAAUAUAACACUGAAAUACACCAUAAUAAAUAUAUUGCCAACAAUUUGUUUUUUUCCUGUUUUCUUAAGUGAAAUUUAUUAUAUAUAGGUCACUGAGAUUUACCAUGUGUACUGCUCUAUUUGUCAUAGUUUGUUGGAUGAAGCAUGAGUGCCUGACCUAAAAGUCAGACUAUGAGUAUUUUGAUAAAAAUGAACUCCUUAUAUUCCAUGACAAAUGACUAAAGCAAUCACUUUCUUUCUAGACAUGUGGGCAUGCCAGCUAAAGGUAAAUAUUGUAGUUCUGCAUUUUUACCAGUGAGGGAUGAGCAAUAACUAAGGUAGUUUUCUUUACAAAAAGAGUAACAUAGUAAGAGUAGCCUACAUUUGUUCCUGUGUCUGAACACAGGACUCCAGGUGACCAGGUGUUGUCAACCAUUUCAGCUGGUGGUAAGAGAGGCAAAUAAAUAAUGACUAACCAAACAGCGAUUUAAGAGGAUCGGCCACAAAGUUUACGUAAAAUUGUAUACAGAAUUUCUUCAUUUUUCCACAUUAUAUUCUAUAACACAAUAUUUGGUGAAGUUAUGCCUUAGGUAAUUGUCUUCUAUCUUGAAAUACAUUUAUACAAAUAGCAAAUAGAAAAAAAAGAUAUCAAAUAAAAAAUUUCAAAGAAAUAUAAGUGACUGUUGAAUAUUACUAUAUUGUGGUUGGUUAAACAUACAACUAAGUUAUGAUAAAUACAUACAACACAUAUAUUUUCAUGUGUUCAUUAAUAGUAUGUAUGUCAGCAAUCCGGAGAAAAGCCUAUGAGAAAAGAGGAGUAUUUUAGGUGAUUUGAAAAUAUAAAGAAUGCAUCUAAUUUUUGUAUUUUUUUAAGUAAGAAAAUAGGAAAAUGUUAUAGGUAUAAAAUAUGAAAAUGUCAACUGCACCCAGAACUUCUGAGUAAAGCAUAUGACAGAAUAACCGUGAAAGUACCUCAGCAGGAUGUUGGACUCAGACACACAGUACAUGUUGCAUUCUUUCCUCAGAUUUCACAUUUUCACUUUCCUUAUGUUUUAGACAUUCUAGGGGUUAAAACUUGAAACUCCUUCAGAGAGCUGGCAGGCUCUCUCUGUAAAUGAGAAAAGUCAGAUGAUUGCAAGAAGAUAUGGAGCAGUGAGAAUUGUGGCAAAUGGAAUGCUUACAUCAUCACUGCUGCUUUAUACUUACCACUGUAUACCUAUAACAUCAUGAAAAUUAGCAAAUCUCUGCUUUCACUUCAGCCCCUCAAAAUUUUAACUUUCUUUUGACAAGCUAAUCUUACUUUCAACACAUGAAGGACAAAUAAAUCUUAUUAGUGGAACAAUAUCAGUUUGUAGCAUCUGAUUUUCAUAGUGGUGGUUAAGUUGAUCAGGGUUACUGUCAUGUUCUAUGAUCUGCUUAUAUUACAAGGAAGAGAAGGGCAGUGUUCUUGGUUAUUCUGCUAAUUAAGUACUGGCUGAUUAAAGAAUAAUGCUUACUGAAUAUGAAGGAUAUAGUAACAGUCAAUAUGGCAUAAGGUAAACUCAGAAUAACAGGAUGCUAUUAUAAAUAAAUGUUAGAAUAGUGAUAACAUAAUUGAUUCUUUUGGUGUUCACUUUCCAUACCUACAUAUGAAGUACUUUACCAGAAUAUAUUUAAGACCUAUUUAAAUUUUCAAGUUCUCUGGUUAAAAAUAAAGCACUGAAAUUGCUUCUCAGAGUGCAAGAUGUUAUAUUAGUAAACCACUCAGAACCAGCUGAUAGUUUCUACCAGGGAUAACUGACAAUCUCCCUAAAGUCAGUCAAUAUUUAUUAUUUAUCUAAUAUUUGAUUAUUGGAAUCAAAUAUUAACCUUUGAAAGGUUAAAAUAUUUAAUUUUAAAAGCUUUAAAUGAAAUUUUGCAUUGUCAUGAAAAAAAAUCAAUGGAAAAUUUGAGAGACCGUAUCCCUCUGCAUGCAUCAUUCUGAGUAAAGGUAUGAGUAAAGUAUGUAGGAAUAAAAUUAUUUUGCAGAAGAUACUAUUUUCCCAUUAUCGAAAUUCAUCCCAGCUGAAAGUAUUUUAUCAUGCAAGGUAUUUAAUACACGAGUGAAAGAGAGAACUAAAAAAAAAAUCCUGCCUAAUUUUUUGAAGGUAUUUUUUUUUUUUUUUUUGUAGUAACACUCAAAACAAACAAAACAAAACAAAAGAUCUCUACUUGCUCUUUGGCAAGCAUCUUACAGUAAAGAAAAAAAAUGCAUCUUUUUAUCAAAAUACAACAGUCCAGCACGUCAAUGGGAAACCUCUGUCCCUGAGCAUGAAUCCUACCAAAGAUGUCAUAAUGAUUAAUAAUAGAAAAUACUAGAUGAAUGAGUAUCAUAAAAGCUGCCAAAACUCUGAUUCUUUUACCACUUACAUUUUAUCUUACAUAGUUCUUGAUGUACUUAUACAUUAUUAAUGCAGAAAACUUAUUUCAUUUAUGAAUAAUUUAAGAAGCACAAAAUGGAAGACAGAAAGUUGAGAUAGAAAAGAUGCCAUUUUCUCUGAUCGAAGUUGUUCAGAACACAAAAACAAAUGUUACUCUCAACAAUGUAUUCAAUAGCUCGCUUUGUAGAUCGUGGUGCUGCUCUGUGAUUAAGCAAACUGAGAAAAGCUGUGGCUUCACUGCUUAAGAGGGUUUACAUCUUGUUUAUUCCCCUCUGAAUUUUCUUGUCAUGAUAAUUAACAUCUAUGAAAGAGUGAAUAACACGAAUGUUAUCAGGAAUGGUUUCUACACACAAGGUUAUUUACAUCCAUGAAUAUCAUAACGAUUUAGUGUAUAUCACCAAAGAACUUUUUAAAAUUUUCCAAUUGUGUUUGAUAAUGUGUGGGGCAUGAAGAUAGUGUGUUUGAGAUAUAUCUGCUGCCAUUCUUUUUUUUUAUAUGCCUAAGUCUUAAUGCAUUUAACAUAGUGUUAAACAGUCAAUGGUUAAGCUAAAUGUGUAGCUCAAAACAAAGAUGGGCACAAAAAAUAAUAAUGCUUUCCUUUUUCUCCAUUUUUUGCUUUUUAGGGCCACACCUGUGGCCAUAUGUAAGCUCCCGGGGUAGGAGUCAAAUCAGAACUGCAGGUGCUGCCUUACCCCACAUCCACAGCAAUGUGGAAUCUGAGCUGCAUCUGUGACCCACACCACAGUUCAUGGCAACACUGGAUAUUUAACACAAUGAGCAAGGCCAGGGAUCUAACUCAUGUCCUCAUAAAUACUAGUCAGGUUCUUAAUCCCCUGAGCCAUGAUGGGAACUCUCUUUUCUUUUUUAUGUAUUCCAUUAAAAAUAUGAUCUGACUGAUAUGACUAAAGAAGGGUUUUAUAUUAAUCUACUAAUUGUUUAAUUAGUUUAAUGUAAUGACACACUUCAUAAAAGCAUCAAAAUAUCAUGAAACUUAAAAUUUCAAUUCUGGUAAUAGUGGGCUAGUGCUUAAGACCAAUCUCUCUGCUAAGGACAUAAAAAAUAGGAAUAAAAUUAAGUAAAAUAUUAACUCAAAUAUAUACAUGAAAUGUUAACGAAACAGUAAAUGGUUACUGAGCCAAAUUCUAGGAAAGGGGGAGAAAUCAUAGACAUAUCUAGUAUAACGUAGUUUUUGCAUUGAGUAUUUUUCAUUUCUGAAAAAGUCGAUCUAGAAGAUUGAGCUUCAGAUUGUAUAGAGAAGCAGGGAACAGCAUCAGUGUGCAGAGCUGCUUACCUGAAGAGAAGAGUCUAACAUUCUCCAUUUUAAUCUAGGAUCCCAUAUAGCUAUACCUUCAUACUGAGGAUGUUACAGAAGUAAAACAGUACACUUGAGGACAUUCUGCCUAGCUUAAUGCCACCUGGGCAAUAUAGGCUACCUCAAGCCUAGAACAUGGACUAAGAGUGUCCUUGUCCCCUAGGUCCUCUGCCAUUUGCACAGAAGUGAAUAAGGUAUAAUUAUAGAAAGUUAAUAUCAGUCUAUGUUUAAAAUUGUUCCUAAAAAUAAAGCUUUAAAUUCUCUAUCUAGGAGUUCCCAUUGUGGCGCAGUGGAAACAAAUCUGACUAGUACCCAUGAGGAUGCAGGUUUGAUCCCUGGCCUUGCUAAGUGGGUCAGGAAUUCAGCACUGCUGUGAGCUGUGGUGGAGGUCACAGAUGUUGCUUGGAUCCUGCGUUGCCAUGGCUGUGGUAUAGGCCAGCAGCUGUAGCUCUGAAUCAACCCCUAGCCUGGGAACUUCCAUAUGCUGUGGGUCCAGCCCUAAAAAGUAAGUAAGUAAGUAAGUAAGUAAAUAAAUAAAUAAUCUAGUACACACCCAAUGAAACCCAGGCACACAGGAUACCAUGCCUGAGAAGCAAAGAAACAAAACACAAUUAAAACCAAUUCAGAAAAAUGUGAGAUUUUGGAAUGACCAGUUACUGAUCCAUUAUAUAUAUUUUUUAAAAAAGAGACAAGCUUGAAAAUAUAUCUGGGAAAAGUAGAUUAUAACAUCAUAUAUUCUAUCUGAAAAAGAACUAAAGAAUUCCUAG